ACGCUCGACACCUACGGGAGGCAGCAGUGGGGAAUAUUGCGCAAUGGGGGAAACCCUGAUGCAGCGACGCCGCGUGAAGGAAGAAGUAUUUCGGUAUGUAAACUUCUAUCAGCAGGGAAGAAAAUGACGGUACCUGACUAAGAAGCCCCGGCUAACUACGUGUCAGCAGCCGCGGUAAUCUGAGCGGGCUGGCAAGGC
This 198-nucleotide ribosomal RNA is filed under the name uncultured bacterium. RNAcentral's name for it is "partial 16S ribosomal RNA". It matches the Rfam family "Bacterial small subunit ribosomal RNA", at positions 328 to 539 of the family's 1533-position model. The record is from RNAcentral.